Lagopus leucura (white-tailed ptarmigan) is the source of this 589-nucleotide long non-coding RNA. RefSeq lists it as uncharacterized. The record is from RefSeq and is a predicted model, not a curated record. The transcript is spliced from 2 exons. NCBI's taxonomy places the organism in Eukaryota, Metazoa, Chordata, Aves, Galliformes, Phasianidae.
CCUGAAAGCUGUAGUGUAGGUUUGUGUGUUCCUCUGAGAUAAAGUUAGGCUCUUUCUCUAUUCUCUGACAAGCAUAAGCCUAAUUCAAGCCUGGUGCUAGUAGGAACAGUCAGGCUGUAUGAAAAUGACUUCUCUGGUAUUUCUGGUUCCCAAGGGGAACAAGGAGACCCUGCAUGCUAUGGGAGGGGCUGCAAAGCAGUUUCCAGAUCGUGCCUGAGAGAAGAUGGAUGCAGAAUACAAAAUGAAGCAGCAUAUCCAUCUCCAAUAUUACAAGAACCAGAUGGGAAAGGUCUGGGGAUUCAAUGGACAGGACCCUGGUGUGCACACUGGGCAACUGCCAGCUUUGCCCUUAAGGGAAUGCCAGCUAGAAAAGCAAAUUUCCACACGCACCUCACUUUCCUUACCUGAAUUAAUGAUCAUGGGAUGGAGAGCAGUGUGAUGUGGAGAAGGUGUUGCCUCAUUGCUCCCAAGAUGGAUUUUUACACAAAAGGAUGUUAUCUGCAUCUCUCGUGGUGGUAUAACAGGCAGUGUGUGUCCUUCUGCCUGGAGCGCUUCCAUAGAACAAUAUGGUAUUUCAAUUUAUGAUUGA